UACAGAGGUCUCAAGCGUUGUUCGGAUUCAUUGGGCGUAAAGGGUGCGUAGGCGGCGCGGUAAGUCGGGUGUGAAAUCUCGGAGCUUAACUCCGAAACUGCAUUCGAUACUGCCGUGCUUGAGGACUGGAGAGGAGACUGGAAUUUACGGUGUGGCGGUGAAAUGCGUAGAUAUCGUAAGGAAGACCAGUGGCGAAGGCGGGUCUCUGGACAGUUCCUGACGCUGAGGCAUGAAGGUCAGGGGAGCAAACGGG
RNAcentral lists this ribosomal RNA (253 nucleotides) under uncultured bacterium. RNAcentral describes it as "partial 16S ribosomal RNA". It matches the Rfam family "Bacterial small subunit ribosomal RNA", at positions 524 to 776 of the family's 1533-position model. The record is from RNAcentral.